This 62-nucleotide transfer RNA is filed under the name Chelonia mydas (Green sea turtle). It matches the Rfam family "tRNA", at positions 6 to 65 of the family's 71-position model. From Rfam's summary of the family: Transfer RNA (tRNA) molecules are approximately 80 nucleotides in length. The record is from Rfam by way of RNAcentral. Lineage: Eukaryota; Metazoa; Chordata; Testudines; Cheloniidae.
GAUAGCCUAAUGGUUAGGGCACUCACCUUGGAUGUGGGAAAAGCAGGUUCAAGUUCCUGCUC